GACGAACGCUGGCGGCGUGCUUAACACAUGCAAGUCGAACGGAAAGGCCCUGCUUUUGUGGGGUGCUCGAGUGGCGAACGGGUGAGUAACACGUGAGUAACCUGCCCUUGACUUUGGGAUAGCUUCAGGAAACUGGGGCUAAUACCGGAUAGGAGCUCCUGCUGCAUGGUGGGGGUUGGAAAGUUUCGGCGGUUGGGGAUGGACUCGCGGCUUAUCAGCUUGUUGGUGGGGUAGUGGCUUACCAAGGCUUUGACGGGUAGCCGGCCUGAGAGGGUGACCGGCCACAUUGGGACUGAGAUGCGGCCCAGACUCCUACGGGAGGCAGCAGUGGGGAAUAUUGCACAAUGGGCGGAAGCCUGAUGCAGCAACGCCGCGUGCGGGAUGACGGCCUUCGGGUUGUAAACCGCUUUCGCCUGUGACGAAGCGUGAGUGACGGUAAUGGGUAAAGAAGCACCGGCUAACUACGUG
This 468-nucleotide ribosomal RNA is filed under the name uncultured bacterium. RNAcentral's name for it is "partial 16S ribosomal RNA". It matches the Rfam family "Bacterial small subunit ribosomal RNA", at positions 28 to 507 of the family's 1533-position model. The record is from RNAcentral.